AACGAACGCUGGCGGCAUGCCUAACACAUGCAAGUCGAACGGGAUCCUAGCUUGCUAGGUGAGAGUGGCGGACGGGUGAGUAACACGUGGGAAUCUGCCUUUUGGUUCGGGAUAACCGCGGGAAACUGCGGCUAAUACCGAAUGCCCUCGAGAGAGGAAAGAUUUAUCGCCAGAAGAGGAGCCCGCGUCCGAUUAGGUAGUUGGUGGGGUAAAGGCCUACCAAGCCGACGAUCGGUAGCUGGUCUGAGAGGAUGAUCAGCCACACUGGGACUGAGAUACGGCCCAGACUCCUACGGGAGGCAGCAGUGGGGAAUAUUGGACAAUGGGGGCAACCCUGAUCCAGCAAUGCCGCGUGAGUGAUGAAGGCCUUAGGGUUGUAAAGCUCUUUUACUCGGGACGAUAAUGACGGUACCGAGAGAAUAAGCCCCGGCUAACUCCGUGCCAGCAGCCGCGGUAAU
This 458-nucleotide ribosomal RNA is filed under the name uncultured bacterium. RNAcentral describes it as "bacterial SSU rRNA". It matches the Rfam family "Bacterial small subunit ribosomal RNA", at positions 29 to 524 of the family's 1533-position model. The record is from RNAcentral.